CCUACGUGAGGCAGCAGUGGGGAAUAUUGCACAAUGGGGGAAACCCUGAUGCAGCGACGCCGCGUGAGUGAAGAAGUCAUUCGUUAUGUAAAGCUCUAUCAGCAAGGAAGAAAAUGACGGUACCUGAGUAAGAAGCCCCGGUUAACUACGUGCCAGCAGCCGCGAUAAUACGUAGGGGGCAAGCGUUAUCCGGAUUUACUGGGUGUAAAGGGAGCGUAGACGGCAGUGCAAGUCUGGAGUGAAAGGCGUGGGGUGAACCCCUGGACUGCUCUGGAAACUGUACGGCUUGAGUGCAGGGGAGGUACGUGGAAUUCCUAGUGUAGCGGUGAAAUGCGUAGAUAUUAGGAGGAACACCAGUCGCGAAGGCGUUGUACCGGACUUUAACUGACGUUGAGGCUCGAAAGUGUGGGGAGCAAACAGGAUUAGAUACCCCGGUAGUC
This 440-nucleotide ribosomal RNA is filed under the name uncultured bacterium. Its description in RNAcentral is "partial 16S ribosomal RNA". It matches the Rfam family "Bacterial small subunit ribosomal RNA", at positions 338 to 795 of the family's 1533-position model. The record is from RNAcentral.